Molecule: ribosomal RNA, 350 nt
Filed under: uncultured Acidovorax sp.
Lineage: Bacteria; Pseudomonadati; Pseudomonadota; Betaproteobacteria; Burkholderiales; Comamonadaceae
Description: bacterial SSU rRNA
Rfam family: Bacterial small subunit ribosomal RNA
Source: RNAcentral
GUAACACAGGUGCUGCAUGGCUGUCGUCAGCUCGUGUCGUGAGAUGUUGGUUAAGUCCCGCAACGAGCGCAACCCUUGUCAUUAGUUGCUACAUUCAGUUGGGCACUCUAAUGAGACUGCCGGUGACAAACCGGAGGAAGGUGGGGAUGACGUCAAGUCCUCAUGGCCCUUAUAGGUGGGGCUACACACGUCAUACAAUGGAUGGUACAAAGGGUCGCCAACCCGCGAGGGGGAGCCAAUCCCAUAAAGCCAUUCGUAGUCCGGAUCGCAGUCUGCAACUCGACUGCGUGAAGUCGGAAUCGCUAGUAAUCGUGGAUCAGAAUGUCACGGUGAAUACGUUCCCGGGUCUU